AUAAUCAUUAAUAUAAAUUUAUUUAUUGUAAAUGGAUAGUCUACGUUAUUGUUUAUGUUACAUUUAGACAGGCAAAUUAUAUCUCAAGAGACUGUAUGUUGAAUCGUUUAUCUCAUCAUAUAGACAUCACCAUCAUAAUCAUCACCAUCACCAGCAACUUCAUCAACACCAUCACCAACUCCUUUACCUUUUGAUCAUCACCUUCAUCAUUAUCCUCAUCAUUAUUAUUACCACCAAUCCCAUUAGUUUUCUUAUGUGUUAUUAUAAUUCAGAUUUACAAGACUAGAUUUCGUGUGCUUCCAAUGCAAAACAUUGAUCAGAGAACGAGUUUUUCACCUGUUAAUCAUGUGUUAAUCACAGGGAAAAAAGCAACCUGGAAUCCAAUCACUCAUCAAUAAUGUUAUUAAUUAGUUCAUCCCACAAUAUUUGCAAAUAUUUACAUUUAUUGUGAAAUGUACACAAUAUUACAUGAAAUUGUCUGGUAGUUCAUUGGCAAGACUCAACCUUUCGUGUUAAUGUUGAUGGUUACCAAUACGAGAUCGAGUUGACACUACAAUUAAGAUUGAUUGUACAAAGUGUUCAACCAGAAAACACUUAAGUUAAUCAAGCCUAACUAUUGAUCGCUCCUUUCUUAUAUCAGCUAAGAAACAAUUAGAUGAUAAAUUUCUAAUCCAUCUAUUCUAAGGUGGGACAAUUAUUUAUUCAUACCAUUAAUCAAUCGGAUUCCAAAUGAAGACAAUUAUUCAUAAAGCCAAUUCCUCAUUCAAGUCAUGAUAAAGGCAACCAAGCAACAUCAACAACUCAUCAAGAGACGAUUCAUCCAAUUGUUUCUACAAUUGAAUUUCUAUUUUCCUCAUUGCGGAAUAACAUUAUUAUUAAGAUUAAUUUAGUUUCACUGAAUAACUAAUUCUAUUAAUAUCAAUCCCAAUCCCAAGAUUCAUUGAAUAAACUGAUGAAAAAAAGGACAAAAUGUUGUCAUUUUUUUGCUCAUCAUUUUAUACAAUGACAAAUGAUAUUAAAUAAUUGAAAGCAACCUUUUUUGGGUUUCAAUAUUUUGAAUUGAAAACCCAAAUAUAAGGCAAUCAGUUAAAUUUAUCAAAUAAUCAUAACUAUAACCAUCUAACAAUAUCAUUUAAUGGUAAAUUACAUUUGACUCGAUUACUAGCAACUAAUAUUGUUGCUGUUAUAUUUACUUGAAUACACUUUCUGGUUUUCAGUUAAUAUAAAUUUUUAUUAUCUCAACUUAAUGAGCAUCAGAAUCAUCUUUCAUCAACAAUUGUAACCAUCUGAUCAAUGAUAAAGAGUUGACAUGGAUGGUAAAUUUUCUGGUUCGCCAUGUUGACUAUUGUUCAACUGAUAAUGAUGACCAUGAGGAUGAUUAUGAUGUCCAAGAUGAUGAUGAUAAUGGGUGAAACAAUAAUGAAAAUUAAAUGAUGAUCAACAUUUUAUUACAAUCUAACCAAUCCAUCAUUUUUCGUUUAUUAUCAUCAGAUUCAAUAUUUUGGAUUUCAGACUCAAUUUAAUGAUGGCAACAGUUUUUAAUGGCAUCAACAAUUGAAAUUGAAUUAUCAAUCGCAGCCAACAUGAUCAAAGACAAAAUGGAUUAAAGUAAGGAUCUAACCAGAUGAGCAACCAACUGACCAAAACAUUAACCGAUACAAUCAUGACACAACAUAGCCAUAAAUAAUACCUAAACUAAAGGUUGGAUAUCAGAUGAAGGGACCAACAAUUGGACACAUUUUCAAGUUGAAAGGAUGAAAACUAUUGAAGCUUUGUCAGAUUCAAAAUGGAUUUGGAUUUUUACAAACUAAUCUCACAAUUAUCAACCCAAAAUGGUAACUACAAGUGAACCUAAUUGUUAAAACUGGUAAAUAUUUAACCUGGGCAACACCAUUUAUUUAGAGGAUGAAAUGAACGUUGAAAAUGUUGAUGUUCAUAAAAUUAUCGCUUUUGAAUGUUCAUUUCUGGUUGAAAAAAGAUGAAUCUCUUUUGGGUUUUCACCAAUCAUUUCUUCUCACACAGAUUCAUCAUCUAGAAUUUUCAUGUUCAUCUUUGAACUUUUUUCCUCUUAUUAUUUUAUUGUUUGAUACAACUGUUUACCCAACAAAAUCUGUUGUUGCCAUGUUUAAGUCAAUACAUAGGAACAAAAUGAAACCUAAAAGUAGUCGAGUUUACAGAGCAAAGUUUAUUCAAAGAUUGGUAUUUUUUUUAUUGAUUUAAUAAAAUAUCCAUCUUGUUUACCCUUUAAUAUUAUUGUCUACAGUCCUGUGAGCUUUUAAUGUAAUCAAAGUAUAAAUUCACGUAUUCAAUAUCAUACAAAUA
This is a non-coding RNA of Tetranychus urticae (two-spotted spider mite), 2322 nucleotides long. NCBI's taxonomy places the organism in Eukaryota, Metazoa, Arthropoda, Arachnida, Trombidiformes, Tetranychidae. The record is from RefSeq and is a predicted model, not a curated record.